CUGCAACUCUGGACUUCAAACCGGCUCCAGUGCAAACCAACAGGCAGCCAGAUUUCAAUUAUUUCAUCAUCCACUCCGACCACCUCCCCUACGACUCCAGUGAGCUGUUGCCUGUGAACAGAUCGAGGCAGUAAUUGCAUCCCAACAUAACUAGGAAAACUAUUUUGUAAUAUAUAUAAAAGGUGAUGGAGACGUCUUAAUGGGAGGAGACAAACUGGGUCCAAACCAGUUUCAUGACAGGCAGAUGGAUUCUUCUCAGAGGAUGGCGAGAACGGCAGCAUUUGAAAAGAUGUCCUGUAAUCGGUUUGGAAGAUUGGAUGUAUAUAUGAGAAAAUGGUUUAGUGCCUUAAUCUAUGCUUUGAGAAAAAUACGUAUUUGUUUUGUACUUCCUUGUUUUUUCACCGGUUUGUUUGUUUUAUUCUGAAUAUCUGUGUCUAAUGUACAUGAUGGAGGGUAUAUACGUUGACAACCGAGGCCAUCUGUGUAUGUGGUGAUGAUGAGCUGUGGGGUUUACGGUGUGGGGGGGGGGAUAUUUUAUGAUGCACAUUAUUUUCUAUUUUGUUUCAGAAAUAAUAAAAAAUGUUAAUCAGUAAAAAAAGGUAAUUUAUGACCCUCCGCUGAGAUAAUGAUCAUUAGUUUGAUCAUGCAUGCUUGUGUCAUAAAUUACAAAGUCAAACAGUACAUAUUCAUAACCAUCCGUUACUCAGGAGCUCAGAAAACACUGUUUCCAUGACGACAACUCAAACACACACACACACACACACACACACACACUCCUUUGUCUCUCUGUUUGUGUUUUUUUACAGUUUAGUCCCUGCUGCUCUGUGAUGAUCCUGCUGCUAAAAUCUCUUUCUUAUCCGACUUUAGUUAAAUGUUAAACAUAAUAUCACUGUGAUGACACGCUGACCUUUUGCAUGUGACAAACAGACAUACGGCUUAUGUUUGGAAACAUUUUGCAGUUUUGCUCAAGCUCAAAAUGACAGAAAUGAUGUUUUCUGACCAAAGCAACAAUUAGAAACUGAGCAGAUUUUUGUAACUUUUUUUUGACCUAAUUUUAUUGCAAAAGCUUUACUGGGUGAAGAACCAGCAGAAUGAUUAGUCCAGUAGCUGUAACUCUAGAUCAGAGAAAACUCUCCUCAUGGUCCCAAACACUCUGACAGAGCUGGAUAAAUCUGCCUUUUCCUUUCACGCCCUGCACACUUGGAAUGAGCUGCGAGGCAUAUUCAACGUGCAAUCUUUACCCUCUCCUGACUCUCUUUAAAAAUAUAUUAAAAUCAGUUUUUACAGAACAGUGUUAUUGCUUUUAACAAGUGCCAUUAUUUGCUAGGAACCUGAUCCCUUUUGUUAUUUGUCCUCAUAUAUACUUCUAUAUGAAACCUUUUUAUUGUUUUUUCUGCUGCCAUCUUAAAUAAGACUCCCUGGCAGAAGAGAUAUUGUAUCUCAAAGGGAUAUUUCUGGCUAAAUAAAAGGAUAAAUAAAUAAAUAAACCUGACGGCAGCUUGAAAAGGCACCGAAAGCACUGAUUUAUGUGUCAAAAUUCCUUUAUGC
Long non-coding RNA from Thunnus maccoyii (southern bluefin tuna), 1548 nucleotides. RefSeq lists it as uncharacterized. NCBI's taxonomy places the organism in Eukaryota, Metazoa, Chordata, Actinopteri, Scombriformes, Scombridae. The record is from RefSeq and is a predicted model, not a curated record. The transcript has 3 exons.